This is a long non-coding RNA of Alligator mississippiensis (American alligator), 3598 nucleotides long. RefSeq lists it as uncharacterized. The record is from RefSeq and is a predicted model, not a curated record. Lineage: Eukaryota; Metazoa; Chordata; Crocodylia; Alligatoridae. The transcript is spliced from 3 exons.
GCAGCUCCCCCGCCCCGUUGCGGGGUUUGCGGAGCCGGGAAAGCGCCGAGGAGCAGCGCAGCCCCGGGCGCUGCGGGGGGAAGCUGCAGCCAGGCCGGGACGUGCGGACACCGCAGGGCGCGGGGGAGGCAGCGGGGACCGGUGCCUGUAGCUGGGCUCCGCGGACCCCAGAGCAGCCGCUCGCAGCCGGCAAAGGGACAUUCUUCACACCGGGACGUGAAGAAGAGCAGUGCGAAGAGCAACGCGCACGACUGAAGCCGGAGGGACGUGUGGGCGCCGGGAGCGCGGCAGUGCCGGGAUCUCGCCCGUACCCGCCCCUGGCCCCAAACCCGGUGCGGGAGAGCCGGGCCCGAGACGGCGGCACGAGGCCGGGGAGCGGGGCGGCGGCAGCGGGGAUUGCUGCAGCUGCGGCACCGGGCGGGAUCCGCUUCCCCGCGCCCGCUCCACGCAAGGGUCUCUCCUUGAGGCUCCUCUUUAAAAUGCAGCUGCCUCUGGGCACGGGGCGGGCGGGGCAAGGAAAUAGAGGCACAGCAACAAGGACACGCACCCGUGGGCGCUGCCGCACCCAGGAGCUCUGUGGAUGGACGACAGCUCCCCCCGAAAUCCCCCCGCCCCGUGUUAUCCAUUGAAGGGGCUGGUGGAGACUCCCGCCGGCUCCUCCCGCCCGGCCGAGCCGCCUGCCCUGCUGCCGCCGCGGAGGCCGGUGUCUGGGGCUGCUGGCGGGACCCGAGGCGGAGCCGCAGAGCCGGAGCUACGAGGGAAGGAGCCGGGGGCAGGAGCCCGGCCAGGGCGCCCCAGGAGGACUCAGACACCUCCAGAGUGUUAUCCAGGAUGUGCCAGGUUCAAUUUGGUGACAUCCACACACACCCUGCCAUGUGGUACCCAUCCAUUGUCUGCACUGAUGUCCUGAGGCUGGUGAAUUUUUAACUAACUUUAUUUUUUAAUUGGAGAAAUGAGAGGGUGUCCGGCACUGGUUUCCCUUCAGUUGUUACAACCCUCCCUGGGAGCUGCCUGGGGACUCCUUGGGGACGGGGGGAUAGUAGCGCGUGGACAGACUCUGUUCCCCUCGGACAGAGCCCACGUGGCAUGCUCUGGAGGGCAGGCCCUGCUCACGGGAUCUGCCAUGAGCAGCCACUUCCUCCACCCGAUGCUCCCGGCGCGUUGCACAAGUCUCAGUAAUGCGCAUUGCAUUAGUGCCGGGGGCUUCAGGGGCUAAUGCUGGGUUCAGAGGGGACGUGGUGGCACCGCCCGAGUCCAGGGAGCACGGCCAGGACCUCCUUUUGUAUCUGAGCACCUCCUUCCCCUGUCUCUGUCCAGGCCUGGCUACCAAAUGCCGUGCUGCGCUGGUCCUGAAUUAAUGCUGCUCUUUCUGAGGCAUCUCACUGUAGCCAUAGCUGUAGCUGUAGCUGUAGCUGUAGCUGUACUGCUGGGCUGUGAUACUUCAGGACUCGUGUCUCACUUCUGAGUUUCUACAUUUCAGUGCCCAGAGACCAGACCUGUGUCUUGUCCGGCCCAGCUGCCUAAGACUGGCUGGCACUUUACACUGUUGACUGCGGUGGAUUCAAGGCCGUGUUAUUUUCUGUCAGUGCAUGUCCCUGACAGUCUGCACUUCCCACUGGUUGCAGUGUUGCCUUGUGGCACCUCCCUAGGACCGGCUCCAUUUUUCUAUGUGCUCUUCCUGCUGGGCAGGAGCUGGCUCCACAAUCCAGCUGGAAACUGGCUGCUUGCUGCUCCAGCUGUGUUCAGCGCACACUAUUCGGUGCUGCGUCCAGGCAAGGGUGCGCUGUACUGGGAGCUGCUGGUCCAGCGUGAGCACAUGGGCUUUCCUGAUGUCACGCUCACAGCGCACCCUCAAGCAGCCCUCUCGGUUAUGGUGCUGGGAAGAGACUCCAGCUUCUCCCCUCCAAGGAGAACUGACCCAAGGAGUUUUCCUUCCCGCAGGAACAAAUUCAGACUUGGCUGCAGCUGCUAAGGGGAGAGAGGGAGAGGCUUGAAACACUGUGAGGGAGUGAAAGCCAGAAACACCAGGAAUACCAGAUGCAGCAUGAGCAGGUCCGAGGAGGUGAUCCUCCCCACCAUGUGACACAAGUCAGGCCGCAGUUGGAGUACUGCAUCCAGUUCCGGGCACCACACUUUAUGAGAGAUGUGGCCAGCAUCAAGAAGGUCCAGAGGAGGGCCACUCGCAUCAUCCGGGGACAGCAGGGCAGACCCUACGAGGAGAGGUUAUGGGACCUGAACCUGUUCAGCCUUCACAAGAGAAGGCUGAGAGGUGACCUAGUGGCUGUCUACAAACUUACCAAGGGAGAACAGCAGGGAAUGGGAGAGACCCUGUUCACCCAUGCACCUCCUGGAGUAACAAGGAAUAACGGCCAUAAGUUGUUUGAGAGUAGAUUCAGGCUGUACAUUAGAAGACACUGUUUCACUGUCAGGGUGGCCAGGAGUUUGAUCCAACUUCCAAGGGAAGUGGUGCUGGCUCCUACCCUGGGGGUCUUUAACAGGAGGCUUGACAAUUACCUAGCUGGGGUCAUAUAAGUCCAGUAUUCUCUCCUGCCAAGGGUGGGGGGUUCGACUUGAUGAUCUACUUAGGUCUCUUCCAGCCCUACAUCUAUGAAUCUAUGAAUAAGGUUCUUAAUUGACUACAGAAUAUUUGGAAACACAGAGCACUUCUAUGUGAGGCUAGUGUAACCCAGAAGAUUUCCAGCAUAAAACUCUCCUGUUGCUCUAAUUGCUUAAAAACUGGUUUGCAGAAAAUCAAAACAGCAAAUGCUUUCACCUCUAGUCCUGAUUGACCUUCAAUCUCAGUUUGUGUGGUCAACAUCUAGAGUUGGAAAAGCCCAACAUGAAGGUUAGUGGAGUUUCUGCACCACCAUCGGUGCCAUGCUGCUGCCCCAAGGGAGGGAGGAGGCUUGUGGGUGAAUAAGAGCUUGGCCUGUUACACAAAUUGCCAAUCGCUUAAAUUACAAGCGAGACUUUAUUAAGGGGGAUAAGGCAAGGUAUCAUGUUUAUUGAUUACAUGAGUUAGACAUAGAGGUUUGGGCACACCAUUCAUACAAACACACACAAAUCAUUAUACAUAUUAUUACACAGGCAUAUACAUACUCAAAACAACCAUUUUAUCCACACAUGCACCAGAUAUAGUUACUAGCAAUAGUUGUUCAGUAUUAGCCCAGGAUGGCUAACCCAGGCUUAUUGAGUAGAUGAUGAUGAUUUGAAGAUAGCAGAUUUGAAGAUAACAGCUGGAGCGAGGUGAACAGAUGUAUCUGUGCUCCCAUGAAACAUCAGGAGAGAAAGAGACUCACACAACUUGGCAUUUUUUAAGUGUUAUUUUAUAGGGAUGGGCAUUCUUUGUUUUAGUGCUUUGGGUUUUUUUUAUACCCAGCUUCUGUUUUUGUGGUUGGGUUUUUUUUUGUCUUCAGUUUAUCUUAGCCUUGGAGUGUUCUCGUUGCCCCUCUGGCAGGAUGGGUGCAUUCCUUUUCCUUGUUAUCUUCAUUGUGCCCUAGGCCUAAAAGGGAUUCUUCAGCUAUUUAGUUAUUAAUUAGUUUCUGAGUGGUAACUUACAUUUGGUGCCUUGUUGCUUACAUAAACAGUUAGAUCUGAA